CAUGCAGUCGAGCGGUAACAUUUCUAGCUUGCUAGAAGAUGACGAGCGGCGGACGGGUGAGUAAUACUUAGGAAUCUACCUAGUAGUGGGGGAUAGCACGGGGAAACUCGUAUUAAUACCGCAUACGACCUACGGGAGAAAGGGGGCAGUUUACUGCUCUCGCUAUUAGAUGAGCCUAAGUCGGAUUAGCUAGAUGGUGGGGUAAAGGCCUACCAUGGCGACGAUCUGUAGCUGGUCUGAGAGGAUGAUCAGCCACACCGGGACUGAGACACGGCCCGGACUCCUACGGGAGGCAGCAGUGGGGAAUAUUGGACAAUGGGGGAAACCCUGAUCCAGCCAUGCCGCGUGUGUGAAGAAGGCCUUUUGGUUGUAAAGCACUUUAAGCAGUGAAGAAGACUCCUCGGUUAAUACCCGUGGACGAUGACAUUAGCUGCAGAAUAAGCACCGGCUAACUCUGUGCCAGCAGCCGCGGUAAUACAGAGGGUGCAAGCGUUAAUCGGAAUUACUGGGCGUAAAGGGAGCGUAGGUGGCUCGAUAAGUCAGAUGUGAAAUCCCCGGGCUCAACCUGGGAACUGCAUCUGAUACUGUUGAGCUAGAGUAUGUGAGAGGAAGGUAGAAUUCCAGGUGUAGCGGUGAAAUGCGUAGAGAUCUGGAGGAAUACCGAUGGCGAAGGCAGCCUUCUGGCAUAAUACUGACACUGAGGCUCGAAAGCGUGGGUAGCAAACAGGAUUAGAUACCCUGGUAGUCCACGCCGUAAACGAUGUCUACUAGUCGUUGGGUCCCUUGAGGACUUAGUGACGCAGCUAACGCAAUAAGUAGACCGCCUGGGGAGUACGGCCGCAAGGUUAAAACUCAAAUGAAUUGACGGGGGCCCGCACAAGCGGUGGAGCAUGUGGUUUAAUUCGAUGCAACGCGAAGAACCUUACCUGGUCUUGACAUAUCUAGAAUCCUGCAGAGAUGCGGGAGUGCCUUCGGGAAUUAGAAUACAGGUGCUGCAUGGCUGUCGUCAGCUCGUGUCGUGAGAUGUUGGGUUAAGUCCCGCAACGAGCGCAACCCUUGUCCUUAGUUACCAGCGGGUUAAGCCGGGAACUCUAAGGAUACUGCCAGUGACAAACUGGAGGAAGGCGGGGACGACGUCAAGUCAUCAUGGCCCUUACGACCAGGGCUACACACGUGCUACAAUGGUAGGUACAGAGGGCAGCUACACAGCGAUGUGAUGCGAAUCUCAAAAAGCCUAUCGUAGUCCAGAUUGGAGUCUGCAACUCGACUCCAUGAAGUAGGAAUCGCUAGUAAUCGCGGAUCAGAAUGCCGCGGUGAAUACGUUCCCGGGCCUUGUACACACCGCCCGUCACACCAUGGGAGUUGAUUGCACCAGAAGUGGAUAGCUUAAC
Molecule: ribosomal RNA, 1391 nt
Filed under: Psychrobacter glacincola
Lineage: Bacteria; Pseudomonadati; Pseudomonadota; Gammaproteobacteria; Moraxellales; Moraxellaceae
Description: bacterial SSU rRNA
Rfam family: Bacterial small subunit ribosomal RNA
Source: RNAcentral